Apis laboriosa (Himalayan honeybee) is the source of this 483-nucleotide long non-coding RNA. RefSeq lists it as uncharacterized. Lineage: Eukaryota; Metazoa; Arthropoda; Insecta; Hymenoptera; Apidae. The transcript is spliced from 3 exons. The record is from RefSeq and is a predicted model, not a curated record.
AAAAUAGAAUACGAAAGUGACUGUCAGCGCCAUCUCUUGAGUGUCAAAGAUAUCUACGAAAUGAUAAAAAUGCUGUUUAAUUAACAUCCUAUUGACUGUGAUCAUAAAAUGUAGACAAAGAGAGCAAAUAGUGAAAAAAACACAGAAAUAGAGUAAAAAUGAGGUACUCAGCGCCAUCUCUAAAUUGAUGCGAAACUAAAAAAAAGGAAAGCAAAUAAUACAAGAAAGAUAAAAAAUAGAAUACGAAAGUGACUGUCAGCGCCAUCUCUUUAGUGUCAAAGAUAUCAACAUUAAGAUAACACAGAGAUAGAGUAAAAAUAAGAUACCCAGCGCCAUCUCUGAAGUGAUGCGAAACUAAGAAAAAGGAAAGCAAAUAGUACGAGAAAGAUAAAAAAUAGAAUACGAAUGUGACUGUCAGCGCCAUCUCUUGAGUGUCAAAGAUAUCUACGUAAGGAUUUAUAUGCAAGAUAAAGUAAAAUUAUA